CACUGGGAGAGUUUAUGUUAACACCACUGGGAGAGUUUAUGUUAACACCACUGGGAGGUUUACUUUAUGUUAACACCACUGGGAGAGUUUAUGUUAACACCACUGGGAAAGUUUACUUUAUGUUAACACCACUGGGAGAGUUUAUGUUAACACCACUG
Molecule: long non-coding RNA, 158 nt
Filed under: Homarus americanus (American lobster)
Lineage: Eukaryota; Metazoa; Arthropoda; Malacostraca; Decapoda; Nephropidae
Description: uncharacterized LOC121863737, transcript variant X2
Source: RNAcentral